Molecule: ribosomal RNA, 253 nt
Filed under: uncultured bacterium
Lineage: Bacteria
Description: partial 16S ribosomal RNA
Rfam family: Bacterial small subunit ribosomal RNA
Source: RNAcentral
GACGUAGGGCGCGAGCGUUGUCCGGAUUUAUUGGGCGUAAAGAGCUCGUAGGCGGCUCAUUGCGUCAACCGUGAAAUCCUGCUGCACAACGGCAGGUCUGCGGUUGAUACGGGUGGGCUGGAGUUCGGUAGGGGAGACUGGAAUUCCUGGUGUAGCGGUGAAAUGCGCAGAUAUCAGGAGGAACACCGGUGGCGAAGGCGGGUCUCUGGGCCGAUACUGACGCUGAGGAGCGAAAGCGUGGGGAGCGAACAGG